Mangifera indica (mango) is the source of this 1012-nucleotide long non-coding RNA. RefSeq lists it as uncharacterized. The record is from RefSeq and is a predicted model, not a curated record. NCBI's taxonomy places the organism in Eukaryota, Viridiplantae, Streptophyta, Magnoliopsida, Sapindales, Anacardiaceae. The transcript is spliced from 4 exons.
UACAGAGGCAACCCUAAGUCAAAAAGCAAAUAUCACUGUCUCUUCUUCUGCACAGCACCGCGUAGCCAUAGCCUACUGUCGAUCUUUUCAUCUUGAACUCUCCGACGUCACUGUUUUUGUUUCUUGCCAGAAAAGGAUCAUAGCUCUGUUACCGUCGUUCUAGUUUCAGUCAUCAUCUCAGGCGCUUUGUGGUUUUAAAAAGGUUUUGAAUUAUAAAAAAAAAGUAACAGUGGAUAUAAGGUACUGGAAGGCUGCUUCACGAGAAGAGUUGAGAGGAUAAUUGCUGAUUGAAUCAGUAAAGAUAGCUUCGAUAAUGUGAUGCUGGAGUAUUUAGUCAAGUGGCAAGGCCUUUCAUAUGCAGAAGCGACCUGGGAGAAGGACGUAGAUAUUGCUUUUGCUCAAGAUUCUAUGGAUGAGUACAAGGUGGAGUAUCACAUAGGUUUUGUUUUUUGUUCAAUUUUUUUUUUUCUCAUUUUUCAUUUCCUUUUAGUGAGCUUUCCUUCAGCAUGGCAAAAUUUUUUCUGUUCAUUACGUUUUGAUAACUAAAAAUUCUUUAAUCUAUUUUUUAGCCCAUAUUAUGGAUGGCUGAAUCACUAUAGACAUGCCUCAAGUUUUCACUCUGCCUGGUCCUUUGUAUUGAUCUAAAAUUAUCUUCUGUUCGUUUCUAGAAUUAUGGUUGAAUGUGAUAUUUUAACUAUAAUGUAUGACUUGCACACUUUCAUCUGAUCUCUACAUCAUUGGAUUAGGAUAAUGAAUGGGUGAAAAUUUAAAUGAAGUUUUCAAUCCGGAAAAUAAGUAAAAGAUACCAACCCUCAUAGUUCUGCACAAUAUCUUUAUUAUGCUGUAAUCAUAACUUUAGCAUAGUGAGCUUGCUAUAUGGUGGUGGAUGAGCAUGCAUAAUUUAUAACAGGAUUUUGUAUAGUUUUGAGGUUUGCGAUCAAUCUUUUGUUUGUAUGUUAAAAUCAUUGUUUAGUCCAUUUCUUUGUAAUAUACUUGUGAAUAUGAACACACA